AGGAAUUUAGGCUAAACCAGACCAAGAGCCUUCAAAGCUCUAAGUAAGUACACAAUACUUAAUUCCUG
This 68-nucleotide transfer RNA is filed under the name Camelus bactrianus (Bactrian camel). Its description in RNAcentral is "tRNA-Trp". RNAcentral also lists the same sequence under 3 other names. Lineage: Eukaryota; Metazoa; Chordata; Mammalia; Artiodactyla; Camelidae. The record is from RNAcentral.